This 253-nucleotide ribosomal RNA is filed under the name uncultured bacterium. Its description in RNAcentral is "partial 16S ribosomal RNA". It matches the Rfam family "Bacterial small subunit ribosomal RNA", at positions 524 to 776 of the family's 1533-position model. The record is from RNAcentral.
UACGAAGGGGGCUAGCGUUGCUCGGAAUCACUGGGCGUAAAGCGCACGUAGGCGGAUUGUUAAGUCAGGGGUGAAAUCCUGGAGCUCAACUCCAGAACUGCCUUUGAUACUGGCGAUCUCGAGUCCGGGAGAGGUGAGUGGAACUGCGAGUGUAGAGGUGAAAUUCGUAGAUAUUCGUAAGAACACCAGUGGCGAAGGCGGCUCACUGGCCCGAUACUGACGCUGAGGCACGAAAGCGUGGGGAGCAAACAGG